This 1345-nucleotide ribosomal RNA is filed under the name uncultured bacterium. RNAcentral describes it as "bacterial SSU rRNA". It matches the Rfam family "Bacterial small subunit ribosomal RNA", at positions 28 to 1381 of the family's 1533-position model. The record is from RNAcentral.
GAUGAACGCUAGCGGGAGGCCUAACACAUGCAAGCCGAGCGGUAUUGUUUCUUCGGAAAUGAGAGAGCGGCGUACGGGUGCGGAACACGUGUGCAACCUGCCUUUAUCUGGGGGAUAGCCUUUCGAAAGGAAGAUUAAUACUCCAUAACAUAUUGAUUGGCAUCAAUUAAUAUUGAAAGCUCCAGCGGAUAGAGAUGGGCACGCGCAAGAUUAGCUAGUUGGUGAGGUAACGGCUCACCAAGGCGAUGAUCUUUAGGGGGCCUGAGAGGGUGAUCCCCCACACUGGUACUGAGACACGGACCAGACUCCUACGGGAGGCAGCAGUGAGGAAUAUUGGUCAAUGGGUGCAAGCCUGAACCAGCCAUCCCGCGUGAAGGACGACUGCCCUAUGGGUUGUAAACUUCUUUUGUAUAGGGAUAAACCUACCCUCGUGAGGGUAGCUGAAGGUACUAUACGAAUAAGCACCGGCUAACUCCGUGCCAGCAGCCGCGGUAAUACGGAGGGUGCAAGCGUUAUCCGGAUUUAUUGGGUUUAAAGGGUCCGUAGGCGGACUUAUAAGUCAGUGGUGAAAGCCUGUCGCUUAACGAUAGAACUGCCAUUGAUACUGUAAGUCUUGAGUAUAUUUGAGGUAGCUGGAAUAAGUAGUGUAGCGGUGAAAUGCAUAGAUAUUACUUAGAACACCAAUUGCGAAGGCAGGUUACCAAGAUAUAACUGACGCUGAGGGACGAAAGCGUGGGGAGCGGACAGGAUUAGAUACCCUGGUAGUCCACGCCGUAAACGAUGCUAACUCGUUUUUGGGCUUUAGGGUUCAGAGACCAAGCGAAAGUGAUAAGUUAGCCACCUGGGGAGUACGCUCGCAAGAGUGAAACUCAAAGGAAUUGACGGGGGCCCGCACAAGCGGUGGAUUAUGUGGUUUAAUUCGAUGAUACGCGAGGAACCUUACCAAGACUUAAAUGGGAAUUGACAGCUUUAGAAAUAGAGCUUUCUUCGGACAAUUUUCAAGGUGCUGCAUGGUUGUCGUCAGCUCGUGCCGUGAGGUGUUAGGUUAAGUCCUGCAACGAGCGCAACCCCUGUCACUAGUUGCCAUCAUUCAGUUGGGGACUCUAGUGAGACUGCCUACGCAAGUAGAGAGGAAGGUGGGGAUGACGUCAAAUCAUCACGGCCCUUACGUCUUGGGCCACACACGUAAUACAAUGGCCGGUACAGAGGGCAGCCACACAGCAAUGUGAUGCAAAUCUCGAAAGCCGGUCUCAGUUCGGAUUGGAGUCUGCAACUCGACUCUAUGAAGCUGGAAUCGCUAGUAAUCGCGCAUCAGCCAUGGCGCGGUGAAUACGUUCCCGGGCCU